This is a long non-coding RNA of Pongo pygmaeus (Bornean orangutan), 404 nucleotides long. RefSeq lists it as uncharacterized. The transcript has 3 exons. The record is from RefSeq and is a predicted model, not a curated record. NCBI's taxonomy places the organism in Eukaryota, Metazoa, Chordata, Mammalia, Primates, Hominidae.
AAUUCAGCUGAUGUUUUUCUUUUAUCAGAUGGGGAUGAGGAUGGCAUCCAAAGAAGAGCUUCUAACGACCCCCGAGGAAUGCUGAGUGACCAGGCAAGGUACCCACUGAACCCAAUUGUGUCCAUUGAUCUCUUGGAGCAGCCAGGGAUCGUGGACAAUCAACCCCUUCACAAUCUAGAACCUGAAGACUGGAUCUUCUGAGAAUGACAGAGAAAGACUGGCUUUGCCAUACACACUGUAACAAAACUUUAGGACCUUGAACCCUGGGUUCAUAAUCUCACACCUGUGAAGAUUCCCUCCACACUCUUGGAACUGUACACCCAUUGGAACCCUUAAGACCCGUGCCAUCAAAUGUCCUAGCAGAACUUCUCAGAACAAUCUGGCUUAAACUAUUACGACACAAC